Molecule: ribosomal RNA, 253 nt
Filed under: uncultured bacterium
Lineage: Bacteria
Description: partial 16S ribosomal RNA
Rfam family: Bacterial small subunit ribosomal RNA
Source: RNAcentral
UACGUAGGGUGCGAGCGUUGUCCGGAUUUAUUGGGCGUAAAGCGCGUGUAGGCGGCCAGAUAGGUCUGCUGUGAAAACUCGAGGCUCAACCUCGAGCUGUCGGCGGAAACCAUCUGGCUAGAGUCCGGAAGAGGAGAGUGGAAUUCCUGGUGUAGCGGUGAAAUGCGCAGAUAUCAGGAAGAACACCUAUGGCGAAGGCAGCUCUCUGGGACGGUACUGACGCUGAGACGCGAAAGCGUGGGGAGCGAACAGG